RNAcentral lists this ribosomal RNA (520 nucleotides) under uncultured Archaeospora. Its description in RNAcentral is "SSU rRNA". It matches the Rfam family "Eukaryotic small subunit ribosomal RNA", at positions 569 to 1091 of the family's 1831-position model. The record is from RNAcentral. Lineage: Eukaryota; Fungi; Glomeromycota; Glomeromycetes; Archaeosporales; Archaeosporaceae.
AGCAGCCGCGGUAAUUCCAGCUCCAAUAGCGUAUAUUAAAGUUGCUGCAGUUAAAAAGCUCGUAGUUGAAUUUUUGAUUCUACCAAUUGGUCCAUCUUUUAGAUGAGUACUGGUUGUGUGGGGUCUAUCCGCCUGGUGAUACGUAAUGUCCUUUAUUGGAUGUUGCGGGUAGUCAGGACCUUUACCUUGAAAAAAUUAGAGUGUUUAAAGCAGGCUUAUGCCGGAAUACAUUAGCAUGGAAUAAUAGAAUAGGACGAAGUUGUUUUAUUUUGUUGGUUUCUAGGACAACCGUAAUGAUUAAUAGGGAUAGUUGGGGGCAUUAGUAUUCAAUUGUCGGAGGUGAAAUUCUUGGAUUUAUUGAAGACUAACUACUGCGAAAGCAUUUGCCAAGGAUGUUUUCAUUAAUCAAGAACGAAAGUUAGGGGAUCGAAGACGAUCAGAUACCGUCGUAGUCUUAACCAUAAACUAUGCCGACUAGGGAUCGGGCGAUGUUGUUUCCAUGACUCGCUCGGCACCUUAU